AGCAUUUCUAAUGAAUCAAUUCCAUGAUUUAGUCCGUGUUACCGUGGUUAUGACUGUUUUAUAUAGCUGCGAGUGACAACUAACAGCUUUAUAUCCCUCAGGUGUUUGGUUUCUGUACUAACAAGUAGCAAUUUGAUAUGGAUAUUCUAGCUGCAAAAGCGGCUAGAGCGAGGAGGAAAUUUAUACUACAACAGAAACGGAUUAAAUCCCGACAGAUUUCGACAGGUACCGAUUUCUGUUAUUGUAAUUUCUUUUUCUUAUUUGAUCAUCAGUUUUUUUUUUUUUGGCUUUGUAUAAAGGAUGAUUUCGAUUUUUAGAUCAAACAGUUUAAUUGGUCCAUUAGCCCCUGUAAUCCAUCCGUUCAAACGUAUAGGCAAAAAAAAAAAAAACAUUUACACUGAUACAGAAAAUUAGAACAAAGGAAAAUGAGAUAUAACUUUGCAUGUUCUUGGAAUGACUUUGUGAGAAGAUGUAAAAACAAUUUUGGUUGAUCCGUGCUCACGAGAAAAUAGAAUGGAUAUCAAAUUUAAAGAAAAUAUGUUUUUUGUGUGCUGUUAAAUUUGGACGGGUGUAGUGAUUUGUUAAGACCAGAAUCAAUUUUGCAAUCUGGAAGUUACUGUCAAACGAUAUUGUGUACAACAGAAGCCGGUUGCUAAAAAUUCCAGGUAAUUAUAAUUUCGUUGUUGAAGUUAUUAAAAAUUGUCUUCGUCUUUGUUUACCCAACUAAUUUUUUUUUUUUUUUUUGUAGAUUUGCGGAUUACUGAUGAUGAUUUGAAGAACUUAUGUCUCAUUGAAAUUGAUAUGCUCCUGCAAACUAAUAGAAAGUCCCUUGAUAAGUACAAGAGAAUGCCUCAGCCUAGGUAUGAAAUAGCUCCUCAGUAUAGUAACAGGUUCAUCGCAGAUCAGAUGUGCUACGAUAAGGAUGAAAUGGAAAAAAUUCAUAUUCAGUUGUCCAACCUUCUUUCAGAUGAACAGAUGGUUGUUUACAAUCAGAUUGUUGAUUCCGUUGAGUCUGGGACCAGAGGUUUUUUCUUUUUGUACGGUUAUGGUGGAACUGGAAAAACAUUUAUUUGGAAGACACUAUCUGCUGGACUACGUGCAAAGGGGUACAUUGUCGUAUGUGCGACAUCGAGUGGCAUAGCUUCCUUGCUACUUCCAGGUGGCCGUACAACCCAUUCAUCAUUGAGUAUACCUUUUAUUAUCAAUGAAGCGUCAAAUUGUACCUUUGAUAAACAGAGCGAUAAAGCUGCUAUGUUUAGAAAGGCAAAAUUAAUAAUAUGAGAUGAGGCACCGAUGAAUGAUGAUGCAUCGUCAUUGUAUUGAAGCGUUUGACCGAACCAUGCGCGAUAUAAUGUCUUAUGAUGGUGUCGAUAAUACAGACAAACUAUUUGGGGGAGUUAUUGUCGUUUUGGGCGGUGAUUUCAGACAAAUUUUGCCAGUGAUCAGAAGAGGUAACAGUUGCUUCGUCCGUCAACUCAUCAAAGUUGUGGAGUCACUGUAAGGUUCUCACACUUACAACAAAUAUGCGUUUACGUUCUUCAACUGUUCGUUCUGAACGAGAUGAGAUUGGAAAGUUUGCCGAGUGGAUACUUUCGAUUGGAGAUGGAAUAGGAUCUGCCAACGAGAGUGGAGAAAUCAACGUACCCAUUCCUGAUGAGUUGCUGAUAAAAGAUUCAUCUGAUCCAUUGCGUUCUCUGGUUGAUUUUGUACAUCCGGAUUUUUUGCAGAACAUGAAGAUCUCCAAUUUUUUCGAAAAGCGAGGGAUAUUUGCUCCCACACUGGAAGUUGUUGACUAGGUAAACGAAUUCCUUCUGUCAUUGGUUCCAGGAGACGAAAAGGAAUAUAUUAGUUCUGAUUCGGUCUGCAAAUCAGAUGAUAAUAGUGAGGUACAAAGCGAAU
RNAcentral lists this long non-coding RNA (1899 nucleotides) under Medicago truncatula (barrel medic). RNAcentral's name for it is "lncRNA gene7570". Lineage: Eukaryota; Viridiplantae; Streptophyta; Magnoliopsida; Fabales; Fabaceae. The record is from RNAcentral.